GAGGAAUAUUGGGCAAUGGACGCAAGUCUGACCCAGCCAUGCCGCGUGAAGGAUGACGGCCCUACGGGUUGUAAACUUCUUUUAUACGGGAAGAAACCCUCGUACGUGUACGGGGUUGACGGUACCGUAAGAAUCAGCAUCGGCUAACUCCGUGCCAGCAGCCGCGGUAAUACGGAGGAUGCAAGCGUUAUCCGGAUUUAUUGGGUUUAAAGGGUGCGUAGGCGGAAUAAUAAGUCAGUGGUGAAAUCCUGCAGCUUAACUGUAGAACUGCCAUUGAUACUGUUGUUCUUGAGUACAAUUGAGGCAGGCGGAAUGUGUAAUGUAGCGGUGAAAUGCUUAGAUAUUACACAGAACACCGAUUGCGUAGGCAGCUUGCUAAAUUGUAACUGACGCUGAGGCACGAAAGCGUGGGGAUCGAAC
Molecule: ribosomal RNA, 420 nt
Filed under: uncultured bacterium
Lineage: Bacteria
Description: bacterial SSU rRNA
Rfam family: Bacterial small subunit ribosomal RNA
Source: RNAcentral